CCUACGGGUGGCAGCAGUGGGGGAUAUUGGACAAUGGGGGGAACCCUGAUCCAGCGACGCCGCGUGAGUGAAGAAGUAUUUCGGUAUGUAAAGCUCUGUCAGCAGGGAAGAAAGAAAUGACGGUACCUGACCAAGAAGCCCCGGCUAACUACGUGCCAGCAGCCGCGGUAAUACGGAGGAUGCGAGCGUUAUCCGGAUUUAUUGGGUUUAAAGGGUGCGUAGGCGGAGUGUCAAGUCAGCGGUAAACUUUCGGGGCUCAACCCCGUCGUGCCGUUGAAACUGACACCCUUGAGUGAGUGAGAGGUAAGCGGAAUGCGUGGUGUAGCGGUGAAAUGCAUAGAUAUCACGCAGAACGCCGAUUGCGAAGGCAGCUUACCGGCGCUCAACUGACGCUGAGGCACGAAAGUGCGGGUAUCGAACAGGAUUAGAUACCCCUGUAGUC
This 442-nucleotide ribosomal RNA is filed under the name uncultured bacterium. RNAcentral describes it as "partial 16S ribosomal RNA". It matches the Rfam family "Bacterial small subunit ribosomal RNA", at positions 338 to 795 of the family's 1533-position model. The record is from RNAcentral.